This is a non-coding RNA of Lamprotornis superbus, 73 nucleotides long. The record is from the annotation of a GenBank genome assembly. Lineage: Eukaryota; Metazoa; Chordata; Aves; Passeriformes; Sturnidae.
GAGUUUGGCUCAGUUGGUUAGAGCAUGGUGCUGAAAACACCAAGGUUGUUGGCUCAAGCCCUGGGUAGGCCCU